CCUACGGGUGGCAGCAGUGGGGAAUAUUGGGCAAUGGAGGCAACUCUUACCCAGCAAUGCCGCGUGAAUGAUGAAGGCCUUCCGAGUGUAAAGUUCUUUAUUUGGGGACGAAAAGAAUGACGGUACCCAAGCAAUAAGCCUCGGCUAACUACGUGCCAGCAGCCGCUGUAAUACGUAGGGGGCAAGCGUUGUUCGGAAUGACUGGGCGUAGAGGGUGUGUAGGCGGUGUAGCAAGUUAGAAGGGAAAAACCUAGGGGCUAACUCCGGUGCUGCUUCUAAAACUGCUAUACUUGAGUGCAGUAGAGGAAAGUGGAAUUCCUAGUGUAGCGGUGGAAUGCGUAGAUAUUAGGAAGAACAUCAGUGGCGAAGGCAACUUACCGGACUGUAACUGACGCUGAGGCACGAAAGUGUGGGUAGCAAACAGGAUUAGAUACCCGAGUAGUC
This 444-nucleotide ribosomal RNA is filed under the name uncultured bacterium. RNAcentral's name for it is "partial 16S ribosomal RNA". It matches the Rfam family "Bacterial small subunit ribosomal RNA", at positions 338 to 795 of the family's 1533-position model. The record is from RNAcentral.